GCCCGCGGAUUCCAUGACGCAGCCGGGGGACUAGGGAACCCGGAUUUCGGACGGGUUGGGAGGGCGGAGGUAGGCGAGUGCUGCGGCGUGGCACGGAGUGAGGCUCCCGGCGGUCCAGCUCGGUGCCUGCUAGCUGUAGGCGUUCGGUAAAUGUUCCUCGAGUGGCUCUUCCUGGCCAGGGAAGGAGGAAGAAGUGAAGGCAGAGUGGGAGGGGCAGGUUUACGAAGAAGGCUCCAGGGGACUCUUGCGUUCGCACAGGCUAGGAGAACUCUACCUCCCGAGGAAGUCAGACUGAGGCAGAGUAGUCGAAAACGGAGGAAAUACGUGGGGAGGCAGCACUCUAGGCACGAGAUGACAAAGGACAGUAUCAUUGUGAGACCCGGGGCUCGGAGACCGUGACCCUACCUCCAGAGGCAGCCGUGCAGAUACGUGCCGGAGUGAUUUUGUUCUCUGCAGUUUAUGUGCAAGGGCGUAGGGGGUCGGGAGAGCACCGUCGUUACUAUUAAAUCUCCCGGAAAGACGGGAAAGUCUACCCGACUUGACUUCCCACUAGCCCAAUGGCCUUCUUUGAUCCUAGCAUGAAUGCAAGCAGCUGAUGAUUUGGGGUCAGUUUGCAGACUGCAAAUGUGUCGAGUGCCGCAGGUGGCGGGUGGGAAGGGCGUGAGCAUUUACUGAGCACCUAAUAUGUGCCAGGAGCAGUUGCGAGCUUGCAACUGUGAGAAAGGCGUACCAGGCUCCUGUACUCACGGGUCUUGCAUUUUUGUGGAAAGGCAGACAAUAAAGAAGAGAAUAUACAUAUCCAUGCACAAAAUAAAAGGCUGACGAACUGUUAGUACUGAGAGGAGAGCCAAGCCCAGCUUUCGAAAGUGGUUUAGUGCGUGAUGGCGCGCUCACCCUGAGGGGCCUCUAGGCGAGGGUGACUUUUACCCAGAUUCCUGAGCAUGGGAAAGGAGCUGCCACACCCAGUCUCGCUAAGAGCGUUCCAGGCGAAGGGAAUAGCAAAGACAAGGUAUUUAGCCUCCCUGAAGACCCAAAUGACCGACCUCACCCAGCUGGGCACCGCGCGUGGCUCGCUGGGCUCGGCGCCUGGCACAAAGGGCUCCACAGUGUUAAAUCCCCCUGCCAACCACCACCUGAGGCGCUCGUCGCAUUUCCAGUCUCCAAACUGACCCCAAUUCAAGGUUUCUGAGACUCUUUCCGGAGCUAUUCUGUUCACAUUUCAUUCACCACGUUCAGAUCUCUGCUUUCUGGAACCAUCCCCCUCGCGAAAUGUCUGGGACUGUCUGUUUCGGAUCUGGCAGGCGGCGGGCGAGGGCGGGAGGCGCCAGAGAUGCUGCCGAGCAAACCGACUGUCAUGCCGCCUGCGUCGGCACACGGAAAAGCUUAUUGGAGAAGAUUUCAAAUCGAAUGACUCCGCGGUUCCUAAACAACCUCGCAAAGCCCGACCAGCGCCAGGUGGCUCGAUGGGUAGUGGAAGGACGUGUCUGGCAGGCGCGCGGACAGUCCAAGGAGGCACCUUGCCCACGCCCAGCCCCGCCGCCGGAGCAGCUUAGACUGGGUUUUCCCAAACCUCCUUCCAUUUUUCUAUAAUUCCUCUCUGAGAGAGGCUUGCUCUCCCCUCCUCCUGCCAAUCCCCUCCCUCGUUCAAGCUAUUUCUUUUUCUUUUGCUCUCCACCUUCAGCCUCUCCGCCUGUUUCUUUAGCAUUGGUUUUUCUGUAGGAGACCAACCUUCAAUCGGAAAGGAAGUUAUUUGCAUAGGGCUUUGUUGUUUACACUAGCAUCCCGUUCUGGGCUUUUUCAUUAAUGUCUUCCAAAUCAAAUCAUAAUAGAGUGUACAUUCUCUCUCUUUGUGUGUGUGUGUGUGUGUGUGUGUGUGUGUGUGUGUGUGUGUGUACUUGAGGCGUUAAUUGGACAGGAUGAGAGAAUUAUUCACAUUGUGCCUUGUCCCCAAGUAAAGGAGGAAUUGUACUGUGGCUUUUCAUAGUUUCAUUUCCUCUUCUACUCCUAAAUAAGCUUCCAGGCUCUCCAGCUCCUAAAAUCUAAAGGAAAAAAAAAAAAAGUUGAAACCCACGCGGAGCUAAUUAUUCUUGAAAAAGCUUGUUAAUGUUCUAAAAUUAGCUUUCUUCUCAGUCUUAUUUUAAAAUAACGAUUUGAAUGUCUAAUAAAGAUCAGUGGUUCCA
RNAcentral lists this long non-coding RNA (2180 nucleotides) under Macaca fascicularis (crab-eating macaque). RNAcentral's name for it is "lncRNA (ENSMFAG00000059548.1)". Lineage: Eukaryota; Metazoa; Chordata; Mammalia; Primates; Cercopithecidae. The record is from RNAcentral.